AUUCAGCGGCGGACGGGUGAGUAAUGCCUAGGAAUCUGCCUGGUAGUGGGGGACAACGUUUCGAAAGGAACGCUAAUACCGCAUACGUCCUACGGGAGAAAGCAGGGGACCUUCGGGCCUUGCGCUAUCAGAUGAGCCUAGGUCGGAUUAGCUUGUUGGUGAGGUAAUGGCUCACCAAGGCGACGAUCCGUAACUGGUCUGAGAGGAUGAUCAGUCACACUGGAACUGAGACACGGUCCAGACUCCUACGGGAGGCAGCAGUGGGGAAUAUUGGACAAUGGGCGAAAGCCUGAUCCAGCCAUGCCGCGUGUGUGAAGAAGGUCUUCGGAUUGUAAAGCACUUUAAGUUGGGAGGAAGGGUUGUAGAUUAAUACUCUGCAAUUUUGACGUUACCGACAGAAUAAGCACCGGCUAACUCUGUGCCAGCAGCCGCGGUAAUACAGAGGGUGCAAGCGUUAAUCGGAAUUACUGGGCGUAAAGCGCGCGUAGGUGGUUUGUUAAGUUGGAUGUGAAAGCCCCGGGCUCAACCUGGGAACUGCAUCCAAAACUGGCAAGCUAGAGUACGGUAGAGGGUGGUGGAAUUUCCUGUGUAGCGGUGAAAUGCGUAGAUAUAGGAAGGAACACCAGUGGCGAAGGCGACCACCUGGACUGAUACUGACACUGAGGUGCGAAAGCGUGGGGAGCAAACAGGAUUAGAUACCCUGGUAGUCCACGCCGUAAACGAUGUCAACUAGCCGUUGGAAUCCUUGAGAUUUUAGUGGCGCAGCUAACGCAUUAAGUUGACCGCCUGGGGAGUACGGCCGCAAGGUUAAAACUCAAAUGAAUUGACGGGGGCCCGCACAAGUGGUGGAGCAUGUGGUUUAAUUCGAAGCAACGCGAAGAACCUUACCAGGCCUUGACAUGCAGAGAACUUUCCAGAGAUGGAUUGGUGCCUUCGGGAACUCUGACACA
RNAcentral lists this ribosomal RNA (950 nucleotides) under uncultured bacterium. RNAcentral's name for it is "bacterial SSU rRNA". It matches the Rfam family "Bacterial small subunit ribosomal RNA", at positions 90 to 1036 of the family's 1533-position model. The record is from RNAcentral.